GACAGAGGGUGCAAACGUUGCUCGGAAUCACUGGGCGUAAAGGGCGUGUAGGCGGGUAGAUAAGUCGGGGCGUGAAAUCCCUAGGCUCAACCUAGGAACUGCACUCGAAACUGUUUAUCUUGAGUGCCGGAGAGGAAAGCGGAAUUCCUGGUGUAGAGGUGAAAUUCGUAGAUAUCAGGAGGAACACCAGUGGCGAAGGCGGCUUUCUGGACGGUAACUGACGCAUGAGACG
Molecule: ribosomal RNA, 232 nt
Filed under: uncultured bacterium
Lineage: Bacteria
Description: partial 16S ribosomal RNA
Rfam family: Bacterial small subunit ribosomal RNA
Source: RNAcentral